RNAcentral lists this long non-coding RNA (1186 nucleotides) under Marmota monax (woodchuck). Lineage: Eukaryota; Metazoa; Chordata; Mammalia; Rodentia; Sciuridae. The record is from RNAcentral.
GUUUUGUCAAUUUUUUCAAUUGUUUCUUUUGUUUCGAUUUCAUUGAUUUCAGCUCCAAAUUUAGUUUGUAAUGUCCCUUUCACCAUAUGAUACAACCUCUUCACUCUUCCAAAGAUUAGGGUGUGGGAAUCUCUGGGAACUAUUCAUCAGUCCCCGCCUCUUCUUGUGUUGAAAUCAGUGAGGAGCAAGGAGAUAGCACUUCUGAGAGGGUGAGGAACAAGGAGAUGCUAAGAGUGCAGAGAUGGGGAAAUUGCCUGUGGUGCCUGGGAGUGCCCACGAUGAAUGGAGUUGGGGGCUCCCAUUUAAGACAGGGUAAGGUAUUGGGAAUGGGGAGCAGAAUGGUCUGAGAACUCAAUGUGGAGCAAGGACCCCACCCCAGCUGCUGGCCCAAGAAUACAUUGUGCCCAUGGAAACCCCCAGGGGAGAAGACUUCACUGGGCCUUUGUCCUCUAGGAGACCAGGUUUCUGUGAGAGAUGGCAGGCUCUGUCUUGAGAGGAUUUUGUAGGUUUGUUUUUCAUAAGUUGAGAAUUCCAGGAGGUGUCAUGGGAAGAUUCCAGGAUUUGGGAAGAGGGCACAAGAGGAGACAGAACAGGGGUGUGCAGAGCCUCACGAGGAUGACAGUGCAGGAUGUUGAAGGGGACCUAGCAUGGCUAACCAAACAGGGAAGGGACACAGGUGGUUAGUCCUGGGGGAUUCAGGACAGGCAGUGAGGUGGGCUGGGAGAGGAGCAGGUGUGGGAGCAGUUGGGUCUGUUUCUUUUCUCUAUGGAUGAAGAUUAGUUUGGGGUUGUUGGGUCUUAGUGGCAUUGUGGAACCUUUCUUGAUUGUCAUUAGGUGGAGUGUCUGAGGGUGGAGGUUGGCUAGUCUGUGUAUGAUUUAUUCCUCAACUGAGGAGAGUUGGGUGCUUACCCCUAAGGGCAGACCUACUGACACCUGCUGCUGGAGGUGCCAUUUCUGGGUACCAUAUGACACCCUGACAUAGAGCCCUGUCCUGCUAAAGGGGACAGAGGCCCAGGAAAGAACAGAGGCUGUGACCUUGUCCUGACAGUCCCAGUGUAUAUAUCCACACUAUAGGAUAUUUGGUGGACAGUGAGUUGCUGUUCCCAAGUAGGAGAACAUUUUGUUUAAAAAACCUUAGUGACUAGGGUGUUUCCAAAUUUUAUUUUUUUAAAAACAGAGAUCUGGG